CCUACGGGAGGCUGCAGUGGGGAAUAUUGCACAAUGGGCGCAAGCCUGAUGCAGCCAUGCCGCGUGUGUGAAGAAGGCCUUCGGGUUGUAAAGCACUUUCAGCGGGGAGGAAGGCGGUGAGGUUAAUAACCUCAUCGAUUGACGUUACCCGCCGAAGAAGCACCGGCUAACUCCGUGCCAGCAGCCGCGGUAAUACGGAGGGUGCAAGCGUUAAUCGGAAUUACUGGGCGUAAAGCGCACGCAGGCGGUCUGUCAAGUCGGAUGUGAAAUCCCCGGGCUCAACCUGGGAACUGCAUUCGAAACUGGCAGGCUAGAGUCUUGUAGAGGGGGGUAGAAUUCCAGGUGUAGCGGUGAAAUGCGUAGAGAUCUGGAGGAAUACCGGUGGCGAAGGCGGCCCCCUGGAUAAAGACUGACGCUCAGGUGCGAAAGCGUGGGGAGCAAACAGGAUUAGAUACCCUAGUAGUC
This 465-nucleotide ribosomal RNA is filed under the name uncultured Klebsiella sp. Its description in RNAcentral is "bacterial SSU rRNA". It matches the Rfam family "Bacterial small subunit ribosomal RNA", at positions 338 to 795 of the family's 1533-position model. The record is from RNAcentral. Lineage: Bacteria; Pseudomonadati; Pseudomonadota; Gammaproteobacteria; Enterobacterales; Enterobacteriaceae.